This 72-nucleotide non-coding RNA is filed under the name Paraburkholderia unamae. RNAcentral describes it as "Fluoride". It matches the Rfam family "Fluoride riboswitch aptamer (crcB RNA motif)". The record is from RNAcentral. Lineage: Bacteria; Pseudomonadati; Pseudomonadota; Betaproteobacteria; Burkholderiales; Burkholderiaceae.
UGAGAUCGCGGAGAUGGCAUUCUCCCUCAACCGUCGCGCUUCCCCUGUGCGGCUAAUGAUGCCUACGGACCC